RNAcentral lists this unclassified non-coding RNA (412 nucleotides) under fungal sp. Its description in RNAcentral is "partial internal transcribed spacer region". The stretch from base 1 to 46 matches the Rfam family "Eukaryotic small subunit ribosomal RNA", at positions 1786 to 1831 of the family's 1831-position model. The record is from RNAcentral. Lineage: Eukaryota; Fungi.
AAGUCGUAACAAGGUUUCCGUAGGUGAACCUGCGGAAGGAUCAUUAACACGUCAAACGUUAAACAACCCCGUGAACAUACAACCUCUCAGUAUACACGGAAGCCGGUCGACUAGCAAUCUUGAAGAGUCGUCCUUGACGCUCCAGCGACACUUUCAUUCACUGGUCACUUGGGGACGCCGUGUCACUUGACCUACCGUUUCUAUGAAUCGCUUUCAGUUUUUCUCACGCGCACAGAGGUCCCAAGUCAAAAACUUUCCGGGGCUUGAUUUACUGGGCUUGUCCAUGCGAGCGGGCGACCAGAGCACUUAAAAUCGCUCCCUUCCGAACCCCACUUUAUUGCCUUGCCUGUAAGCAUCCAUACGGAUGGGCAGGCCCCCCGAACAACUGUUAACAAUGGAUAUCUUGGUUCUC